Molecule: long non-coding RNA, 1877 nt
Organism: Biomphalaria glabrata
Lineage: Eukaryota; Metazoa; Mollusca; Gastropoda; Planorbidae
Exons: 12
Source: RefSeq, a predicted model, not a curated record
GCGUUACUCUUCCACCCAAUCCAGCCCUUGAAGAAGCAGCUAUAGGAUCCCAUAAUCAUGCUGGCAUGAAUCAUCCAGGUGAAGCCAAUGCUGACUUUGAAGACACACAGAUAUUAAAGAUAUUGAUGCUGGGAGCAAGCCCUAGAAAGCCGGAUUCUUAUUUAUGCACAGCUUACCAUGCACAGGAUUUGGAAUCAUAUAUUUAUAAGUUUGAAGCUGUAGCUGACGCCAACACAGCUCAUCACAUGCUGUUGUAUGGAUAUGAUGGUGAAGCCUAUUCUCAGUAGCCAGUUUGGAACUGUCCUGCAGUGUGCAAGAAUAGUCAUCCUGUGAUUUUAUUUGCUUGGGCUAAAAAUGCUCCUCCAACUAUCUUGCCUAAAGAUGUUGGUUUGAGAUUUGGCAACAGAACAUUCAUUAAAAACAUUACUAAACAUUAGUACUGCAAGUUCACUAUGCUAGGAUAUUUACUGAUGCUGAAGAUGAAGACCACUCAGGUUUGAAGAUUUAUGUCACACACAAAAAGCAGCCAUAUGUUGCAGGAGUUUUUUUCUUGGCAUCUGCAUCGUUUACGAUACCUCAAGGACAUUCCUCCUUCCCUGUGGAUGUCUGCUGUAGAUUUUCAAAAGAAAAAAGUAUUUUUCCAUUUGCCUACAAGCCACAUGCCCAUGGUUUAGGAAAAUUGUUUUUUUCAAAGUUAAAACUAAUUGAAAAAAGGAAUUACAAUUGAAUAGUAACAAUGACGUAUGUUCAGGAAUAUUAUGAUGAAUAUGCUGCCAAUGAUAUGAGAGAGAAAGGAAUGUAUGGAACUGCCACCUCUAGCGAGGAAGGACUCAGUCGGAACAGGAACAAGGGUUUUGAAGCCAUCAGUCAACAGCUAGAGCAUUUCCCUCGCAAGAACGCAGCUGGUCGGAUCAAUCAAUCCCAGCGUUUGGAUCAGAAUCAAGGGAAACAGCCUCUGUCAGAGAACACAAAUCAUGCCUCAAUCAACAGACAAAACAGUGAGCUCAGAAAACUCCCUAACUCAGUUAGAGCUAUAGAAGUUGGUCAGUCAGAAGCAGUCCAUAAACCACAUAGUUAUGUUCAUUUGGAGAAACCUAUAUUCAAUUCAUCAUGGCCAGAAGAGUCUAUUACAUUUGGUCAGGUGUGGCUAUUGACACAAGUGGCUCUAGAAAAUGGACUGCACAGAAACUUUUAAAGUGGGAAGCGUGGUCGAGAGGUUAAGGGCUCUUGAACUUGGCUUGGCUUGGCUACCAAUCAAGGAGGCUCGAGGUUCGACAUCCGACUUAGGCAGAGUUGUGUUUAUUGAGCGCCUAAAGGCAGCACAGAAAAACCUUCUCCUAGAUACCCCCUCCUCCCCCACAACUGAGAUUGGACCAAAGCGCUCAGAGCAUGCUAUAAGCAUGAAUCUCUCUGUUUCAUUGUAUCAUAAUUUAUCAAAGUUAUGUUUUAUUUACUUAUUCUUAUUCAACUUUUACAAAGUAAAAAUGUUAUGAAUGAAAAAAAUUGUAUUUUUUGUAAAUUUAGUUACAGUUAUAUUGAAUAGAAUUAUUUAUGUUAGCAACUUUUGAAUGCAUCACAUAAUUUUAAUUUGACACAGAAACUGAAAAUCAUUUCAAUUAAAGUUGAAACAUUGUCUCUUGUUGGUGGGGUAUGCAAGACAUUGGUUCUAUGCUGUUGGUAAAAAUUUCUCAUCGUUCAUUGACUUCCAUUGUACUCCACCUUGCACUUUCAAAAUAGUGAUGUCAUUUGUUUCUCAAAUGUUAGUAGCAUAGAAAACAUGGACUGUGUGGUCUAUUUAUCUUAAUGUGUGUUUCAUGUAUUGUAAGUGAUCAUAUGUAACAGUUAUGGGUAUAGAGAAUAAAAUACAAAAUAUUAAA